AACGAACGCUGGCGGCGCGCCUAAUACAUGCAAGUCGAGCGAGAAGACGUAGCAAUACGUUUGUAAAGCGGCGAACGGGUGAGGAAUACAUGGGUAACCUACCCUCGAGUGGGGAAGUAACUAGCCGAAACGGUUAAGGCUAAUACCGCGUACGCUCCUUGGACUUCGGUUCAGGGAGGAAAGCGAUACCGUGGGUAUCGCGCUCUUGGAUGGGCUCAUGUCCUAUCAGCUUGUUGGUGAGGUAACGGCUCACCAAGGCUUCGACGGGUAGCUGGUCUGAGAGGACGAUCAGCCACACUGGCACUGCGACACGGGCCAGACUCCUACGGGAGGCAGCAGUAAGGAAUAUUGCGCAAUGGGCGAAAGCCUGACGCAGCGACGCCGCGUGGGGGAGUGAAGGU
RNAcentral lists this ribosomal RNA (401 nucleotides) under uncultured bacterium. Its description in RNAcentral is "bacterial SSU rRNA". It matches the Rfam family "Bacterial small subunit ribosomal RNA", at positions 29 to 415 of the family's 1533-position model. The record is from RNAcentral.